Molecule: long non-coding RNA, 790 nt
Organism: Phascolarctos cinereus (koala)
Lineage: Eukaryota; Metazoa; Chordata; Mammalia; Diprotodontia; Phascolarctidae
Source: RefSeq, a predicted model, not a curated record
CUAGCCAAGGCCUACGUGGAAGUACCAAUAAGUAUGCUCAGGCUUCCUGUCGUAAAGAAAAUAUUGGAAAAAAUGUCUGUUGGCCCUUCAUGCACCUGUCCAUAUCUCUGAUGGGGGUGGCCCUACAGACCAAAUUAGGGAACAUGAGAUUGAGGCUUCUCUUAAAAACACCGUCAAUAUCCAUUACCACCAACUUGCUUUGUCAGAAGAUCCUAGUGAUACCAUGGAAGAGGGUCUCCAGUUCUCGAAGCUCGUGCAACCGGAAUCUCGCUGCUCGCGGUGGUGGAGAAAUCUUAAGGGUAAAAAGUAAUCUGGCAGCUGUGAGAAAGCCCAUGACGGGAAUAUUGAGGUCCCAUGUGUCAAAAAGAUAAGCGCGGCUGCAGUUGCUUCCCCAUGACGGGAAUAGAGUGAGGCCAUGAUGGGUUACAUCGUGGGGACCCCUCGCUUAGCCUAAGACAGGGACCACUGCCACUAAUGCGCUUUGAACAUGGAGGCCGACCUCAUAGCCUAAGACAGGCCUCUCACCUGCUAUUUUAAAUAGAAAAGGGGGACAUGUUGGAAGCCAGCACCUGGUAGUGGGCCCCUAACCCCGUGAAAACACCAAACCGCAAGCAGCUUGUUCCGGGACAAACCGUAUCAUAACAUGUUUUCGUCAACAGAUGUACUAACCGCAAAAUGUUGCCAUACCGCCCUGGAAAGUUCCGGAGGCCUAUUUUUUCUUUAGCCCCUCCCCACUUUUACCCUAUAUAAGCUUGGAACGCUCAAAAAUAAAAUUAGACCUUGCCUACCA